UGGCGGCUGGAGAUGGUAAUGUUUUCUCUUAGUUCAUUUCUCUUGGUUCAUGUCAAAUUAAUUUUGAUAAAUAAGUCGCACCUGACUAUAAGUGUCAGGACCAGCCAAACUAUGAAAAAUUUAUAGUCCGGAAAAUACGGUAGUCUAGUUGCUCAAAAGAGUAUUGCAGGUCAUAACUGCUUGCUUAUUUUUAGGUUUUGCAUUUGAAUAAAUAUUUAGUUUCGAAUUAUACAUUUUAAAAAGAUACUAGUAUAAGCACACAAGUGAAUAUUAAUGCAAUAAAAAUACUGAAUUUAACCCAAGAAAAGUACAGUAGGCCUAUUCAUGUGAAUUGAUAGUGAAUCAAGAGAUCGAAAUUGAUUAAUGGUCAUCAGCAUCGUAAUCGUAUCAAAUUCUUUCUAUUUUUUCCCUCUUGUAGAAACACUAUUGUGACAAAACAUAUAUUUAAUGUAGUCUCUCAUUCACCACUAUAGAAGUUUACCCAACUAUGACAACUUCCGCUUGAAAAUAUGAAAGGGUUGUGUAACUAUAUUCAAGAUAAAUUAGUUAAAUGAAAUAAAAUGCCUACAUGUGCACUGUUCAAAGUUUAUCACCAUUAAUAAUAACCUUAAUAAGUAGCAUGAUUAUCAUAUAGUGCUUUCUUAAAUAUAUUCGCAGUAACGACAACAAAUAUAAUAUUACAAUUUACAUCUUACAUUAUUUUCAGAUAUGGACAAGGGAAAGAAGAGAAGAGCCAUCACUGACUUUUUUGAAGGCAUACAGCCUAAGAGGAGCCUCAUGAGUAAAACGCUUAACCAGGACACUCAAACAGCACAGCACUUACAUUUAUCACCCAGGCUACAAGAAAAACUAACAGACCUGCCCCAAUCCAGGACAAACCCCAAUACAGACAGACCAGCCCCAAUCAGAGCAGACCAGACAGACCAGCUCCAAUCCAGGACAACAUUAGUCAGCACAUCCACAACAAACUGUUCACAUCCAGCCCAGUCCAUGAGCACAGCUUUGUCCCUGCUUACUAGUACAGACAGGGUAAUACACUUCAGCAAGCAACAGCUUGAGGCAUGGACACAGCAGUACUCCCCUUGGCUAUACUUACAUGGAAAUAACGUAGGAUGCACAUUCUGCAAAUAUGCCAAGCGCCUUUUUGGAGUCCAAAAGGGAGUACAGGUGGCAGAGGAGUGAGCUUCUGGAGAGGUCACAGCAAAAGAUGUCAGGGCCAUGAGAAAGAAAAUCUACAAACACAGAGACAGCUUAACUCACAAGGCAUCAACAGAUAUUCAACAGCAGAAAGAGAAAGAGGUGUUGCCCACCUUGACAGAAACUUUGAAUGCUAAAGUUCUGUUGGAGACAGUGCACUCAUUUAGAAAAGCACAUUUUGUUGCAAAGGAGAAGUUAGCCUUCUCAAAAAUGAAUGGAUUGGUUGAGUUACAAGAAAUGAAUGGAGUAAAAACCGUCUCUUGUCACAAAUCUGAUCACUCUUGCAUUAAUAUAAUAACACACAUUGCCAAUAAAAUGAGGGAAAAAAUGGUCUCAACAAUUAAAAUUGCUGGUUCUUGGAUCUGUCUUACAGUAGAUGAAAGCACUGCAUUUGGGAGAAGCUACCUCAUCCUAUACCUCAGAGGAGAUGUGACAGGAGAAGGUGAGACAGAAAACAUGUUUUUGGGAUUUGAUUGAGCUGGAGGAAGGAACAACUGCUGAUGCCAUAUACAAAGCUCUCAAAAAGAGUCUCCUGGAAGCUGACCUGGAUGAUGCAUACCUCAAGUCUCAUCUGAUUUGCAUAACAACAGAUGGGGCAUCUGUGAUGACUGGAAGACAGAGUGGUCUUAUCACAAGGCUGAAGAAAGACUAUCCUUUGCUGGAGAGUAUCCACUGUCUUGCUCACAGGCUUGAGUUAUCAAACAGAAGCACUUCUCUUAUGGAGGCCACACGAGAAAUAAAGAUGACAAUUGAGGUGUUGAAGGCUUUCAAGAUCACCCCAGGGAAGUCAAUGGAGAAAGCAGCGGAAACUGUUAAAGUAGGAGAAUUCAAACAAGUGCCCUUACGUUCAAGCAAGGAAAAUGUAAAUCGAUUCCUAUUCCUCCAAGCCAUCAUCGACAGUCUCUCUUCACGAAUGCCUGACACAAAUCUUACAAAGAUUAUAACACCACUGGAUCCCCUAAACUGGCCAAAAUCCAGGGAGUCUCUUAUUCUCUUUUGGGAGGAAGAGAUCCACGACCUGGCAAAGAUGCUUGAAGUACCAAGUAGGGAGGCAGUUGAGGACUUCAGAAAUUGGAAGCUCAACAAUGAUCAGAAUAGGAAGGUCCUCAAAAAGUUGUUGACUGCUAGCAAAACAUACCUGGCAAGUUCUUCUGAAUGUGAAAGAGGCUUCUCUGUCCUCAAUGCCACUGCCACAGAUGCAAGGAAUCGCCUUCAAGUCAGGAGCCUCUCUGCAGUACUUUUCAUUGACAUUAAUGGCCCCCCUCUCAAGAUGUUUGACGCUUACCCGUAUAUUCAGUCUUGGCUUAGGGAGAAACAUUGUCUGUCAACUGCCAGUAAAACAGGGAGACGAGACAAAUCUGAGCUUUGACACAAUUCGAACACUGUAUAAGUCCUGAUAUUAACGUUAUGCUCUAUUAAUAAAAUAAGGGAUAAAUGAUUAGUUAAAUCCCAUUUAUUAUAAACCUGCUAUCAGAUGCUUCAUUAGUGGCCGGGUUUCUCGACAACGAUUGAUCUUAGAGUUUAAGAGCGUUUUCUGAGAGUCAUUUUACGAUCGUUCAUUAUUGAUUCACGUGUGUUUCUCAGAAAUGCACUUAACACAAUCUCAGUAUCUGUGCUUUAAGAGCUGCUUAGAGUCGCUGUCCGUUUGUCAAGUGCUGAAAUCUCAUCUUAUAGAGUGACUCGUGAUUGUAGCACACGCUCGUUUACUGAAAUGUUCAUCUAAUGCUGUGUUCAGACUCUGUCAGCAGAUUGUCAUUUGACUGACAGCUUCUGAUCAAUGUGGAAGCAGCCAAAUAUCUCCAAAUGAAAGAAAACUUGGGUUUAUCUUUGCAACAAUACCCUUCACAAGGCGUUCAGAUGAAGAAAAAAAGAUGCUAGGACACAGAUUCAGUUCACAUUAAGAGGAGCAUCCAGCAGUUCCAGCUGAUAAAAAAAGAAGAUUAAAAAAAGUGGUAAAUGUAACUUUUUUUUAUCUCUGUAGACACGCUUUGAUAGAUGUGUGUGGGAUUAAUGGGAGGAUUAUAUCUUAAAGUUACUGA
Carassius gibelio (silver crucian carp) is the source of this 3236-nucleotide long non-coding RNA. RefSeq lists it as uncharacterized. The transcript is spliced from 3 exons. The record is from RefSeq and is a predicted model, not a curated record. NCBI's taxonomy places the organism in Eukaryota, Metazoa, Chordata, Actinopteri, Cypriniformes, Cyprinidae.